Long non-coding RNA from Toxorhynchites rutilus septentrionalis, 981 nucleotides. RefSeq lists it as uncharacterized. The record is from RefSeq and is a predicted model, not a curated record. The transcript has 3 exons. NCBI's taxonomy places the organism in Eukaryota, Metazoa, Arthropoda, Insecta, Diptera, Culicidae.
CCAAUAUCGUCAACGCGGAUAGUUCGUUAGUCGAAAAUACUGAAUAAUUAAACAAACCAAAUGGCAUCACUGGUGGUUCUUUUUUCCACUCCGCUAAAUUGUCAUCUCAAACAAAAACAAAUGGAUCAUACAACUGCUAUGAAUACAUUCGACUCGUUCGCUUCCAUCAAUCGGUAAGUGAGAAAGAUGAUUUCUCCCAUCAGCACAGUGCGGAUUUCCACUUUUAUCACAGCAGCCAACAACAUCCGUUUUCCUGCAGCAGUAACCUCCAACCCCUGUUGGCAAUGUCGGGGGACAGCAUUAACAGCAGCAGCAGCAGAAUUUGACCAUGGUAUGGUAUUGCGAAGAACUUUUCCCAUUAGAGGUUCCGUGCUUCGCGCACAUUCAAAAAUCCUCUUCAGACACGAAAACUCAACGACAAGGAGGUAUUUAUCACUGAAUUACCACCCCGGAGGAACCCGAAUGCACUGAUUCCGUAGUAUAGUAGAAUGAAAAUAGGCGAGGUUAGCGAACGUAGUCGCAUGAUAUUUUAAUGUUCGCAUUUUUAUCCGGAUCAUACAACUGCUAUGAAUACAUCCGACUCAAUCAAUCGGCGAGUGAGAAAGAUGAUUUCCCUCAUCACCACAUUGCUUAUUUCCACUUCUGACACACGGCCAACAGCAUCAGCUUUCCCGCAGCAGUAUCCUUUAAGUCCAGGGUGCUAUUCCGGGGAAUAGCAUCAACAGCAACAGCAGCAGGACCUGGCCAUCGAUAGUAUUUCGAGCAAUUUUCCCCAUCGGAGAUCCCGUGCUUCACGCACAUUGAAGAAUCCUCCUCAGCCACAUAUCUGUGUCAUCAAGGGCAAGGAGGUAUUCAUCAAUGUACUCAGUCGGAUUUGAAUCGUCUAUCCAGACAACCCGGAUGCACCGAUUCCAUUAUAUACCUUAUUUUUAUUAUACAUGGUUUUUUAUUAUUUUUCUUCAAUAAAAUGAUUAAAAUCGA